ACGAACGCUGGCGGCGUGCUUAACACAUGCAAGUCGAGCGGAGGGGAUAGGAGCUUGCUCUUUGAACCUUAGCGGCGGACGGGUGAGUAACACGUGGGUAACCUACCUCAUGGAGGGGGAUAACACUAAGAAAUUGGUGCUAAUACCGCAUAAAACCGUAAGGUCACAUGACCUAACGGUCAAAGAUUUAUCGCCAUGAGAUGGGCCCGCGGCCCAUUAGCUUGUUGGUGAGGUAACGGCUCACCAAGGCGACGAUGGGUAGCCGACGUGAGAGGGUGAUCGCCCACAUUGGGACUGAGACACGGCCCAGACUCCUACGGGAGGCAGCAGUGGGGAAUAUUGCACCAUGUGGGAAACCCUGAUGCAGCAACGCCGCGUGAGCGAAGAAGGCCUUCGGGUUGUAAAGCUCUGUCUUCCCUGACGAUAAUGACGGUAAGGGAGGAGGAAGCCACGGCUAACUACGUGCCAGCAGCCGCGGUAAUAUGUAGGUGGCGAGCGUUGUCCGGAAUUAUUGUGCGUAAAGGGUGUGUAGGCGGUUUUUUAAGUGGGAUGUGAAAUCCAUGGGCUUAACCCAAGAAUUGCAUUCCAAACUGGAAAGCUAGAGUGCAGGAGAGGAAAGCGGAAUUCCCAGUGUAGCGGUGAAAUGCGUAGAUAUUGGGAGGAACCCCAGUGGCGAAGGCGGCUUUGUGGACUGUAACUGACGGUGAGGCAAGAAAGCGUGGAGAGCAAACAGGAUUAGAUACCGUGGUAGUCCACGCUGUAAACGAUGGGUAUAUAGGUGUAGGGGGAGUAGUCCUCUGUGCCGCAGUAACA
Molecule: ribosomal RNA, 813 nt
Filed under: uncultured bacterium
Lineage: Bacteria
Description: bacterial SSU rRNA
Rfam family: Bacterial small subunit ribosomal RNA
Source: RNAcentral